This 275-nucleotide unclassified non-coding RNA is filed under the name Hevea brasiliensis (rubber tree). Lineage: Eukaryota; Viridiplantae; Streptophyta; Magnoliopsida; Malpighiales; Euphorbiaceae. The record is from RNAcentral.
CUGGGAUUGCUACAACAAGAAAUGGUGCCAGAGACCCAAUUGUGAACUCUGAUAUUUCCCGUAAAGGCAUAGGCUUUAGUGAAUCUUUUAGAUUCCACAAGGUCUUGCAAGGUCAAGAAAUAAUUCCAAGUUCAACAUUUGGAAGAUACCCAACAGCUACCAAUGAGGUUUGUAAAAAUGGCAGCUUUGGAAUAUCUGAUGGCAAUCAAAUGACAAGCUCAGGAAAUGGAUGGUCUGCUGUGAUGCAGGGUUAUAAUACUCGUAUGUGCCUUCCC